Molecule: unclassified non-coding RNA, 391 nt
Filed under: soil metagenome
Description: partial contains 5.8S ribosomal RNA, internal transcribed spacer 2, and large subunit ribosomal RNA
Rfam family: 5.8S ribosomal RNA (bases 1-122)
Source: RNAcentral
GAUGAAGAACGUAGCGAAAUGCGAUACUCGGUGUGAAUUGCAGAAUCCCGUGAACCAUCGAGUCUUUGAACGCAAGUUGCGCCCGAAGCCAUUAGGCCGAGGGCACGCCUGCCUGGGCGUCACACGUCGUUGCCCCCCCAUCUACUCCUUCGGGAUUGCGGGGGGCGGAUGAUGGCCUCCCGUGCGCCUCGCCGCGCGGUUGGCAUAAAUGCCAAGUCCUCGGCGACGCACGCCACGACAAUCGGUGGUUGCGAAACCUCGGUUGCCCGUCGUGUGCGGUCGUCGCGCAUCGAGGGCUCGAAAAAAUUGCCGGGUUCCGGCUCGGCUUUCAACGCGACCCCAGGUCAGGCGGGGUUACCCGCUGAAUUUAAGCAUAUCAAUAAGCGGAGGA